RNAcentral lists this long non-coding RNA (3733 nucleotides) under Daphnia magna. Its description in RNAcentral is "uncharacterized LOC116931907". Lineage: Eukaryota; Metazoa; Arthropoda; Branchiopoda; Diplostraca; Daphniidae. The record is from RNAcentral.
GAGCGUGUCUCUCUAUAUAUCGUCCGCGUCAGCCGAUUGCGACGCACUGGUGGACUGAUUUUUGUACGUUAUCUUUCCGUUUUUUUAUUUUAUUUUUUUAAUUUUCUUUUUUUGGGGGUGGGUUACUGGGAUCGAGUUGGGGAAAGGGACUAAAAAGUAAGAGGAGGGUGAAAUGAUGUCGUAAAUAAUGAAUGAAAUUAAAAUAAAGGUAAAGGGGAGGUGGUUUAAAGCGCCGUUGUGGCGGGUCUUGAAAGCAGCCGACUGGCCAUCAAGCCCACCAAGGGAUGCUGGACCCGGUUUUUAUUUUUUAUUUUUGGGCUUUGCUUCUUCAAUUUAUGACUUGUUUCUUAUUCCUCCCCCACUAUAUCACUGAUUAUCCCCCUUCUUUUUUCUUUUUUUUUGCUUUAGUUAAAAGAAAAAAAUGAAAUGUACAAGUUUCCUGUUUGGUUUAUGCUAAUGUCUCGUAAAAUGCAUAAAAAUGAAACUUUCUCUUUCCGAGGAGGGCCGCUGUCCGUGUAACAAAUUUGAUUCACGACGGGAAAGAGAGAAUGAGGGAAAAAAAAAGGAGCUAGUCUCAACGCUAGUCAACAAAACGACGGGCAGCCCAUUCAACAACUCGUCGUUUGUUUUCUAACGCAAAUUAUGGAUUUCUUCUUUUUCUCACAGUCACCGCCGCAGUUUUUUUCUUUUUUUCUUUUGAAUAGUAUAGUUAUUUAUUUGAUGCCGGCCACGAUGAUUUGGCUGAAACAUCAACUCGAAAAAGAAAAAGAAAAAGAAAAAGAAAAAGACGAAUGAUUUAUAUUUGCCCAUUUUUCUUUAUUUCUUUGCCCGCAGUCUUUUGUCUUGUUCGAUCGUUUUUCUCCCGCUGUGCUGCCCAGUCAUUUUGCGCGCUAGACGUUCUAUUACUCUAUUAGGACAUUUUUUAUUAUUUUUUUUUUUUGAAAUUUCCCCCAAGGAAUGCCGCAUUCUAUGCCCUAGUUUGGCCAUUUGCUGUGCAAAAGGAUUCAUCAUUUCUUUUUUGGUUUUUUUCUUCGUUUCUCUAACGGUUGAAAUGAAAGACGGUGGCGGAUGUUGUCUAGUGCUGGCCAUCCAUCUUCUACGUGAAUGUACACAUCGACUUUAUUUCGUUUUUUUCUUCCUUCGUUGUGCCCGUCCCGAUGAUGGAUGGACGCACGAAAUUGAACCUUUUCCCGUCCGGGGGUAUAGGAGGGGGGUGUCUACACCAAAACACAUCCGUCUCUCUCUUUCUACUUCUUUCUACUUCUUUCUACUUCUUUCUACGGGUGUUGUAUGCGACUAUCGAGCCGGAUCGACUGGAAUCUGCGACUCGUCCUAUACAAAGCGAUUAGCAUUUUCGUCGUUAUAGAUGGAGACUAUAGUGAACCCAAAAAUGACUAUACGUGUAACAACCGUGAACAAAAAAUAAAAAGGAAACAUUGACGCUUCAAACAGGGAAAUACAUUUGAUAGGGACGCCAACAUUUCCCCCCACCACCACGGCACCACCACCACCACUCUGUCGGUGUCGUUGAUCCGUAUACGCAAACUUCCUGCUUGUCCGCAGGAGACGGACGAGGGGCUAUCCAAUGUGUCGCGUGGUGCCAUAAAACAAAUUCUGCUUGCAGUUUGGCCAGUCUACAAUUUUUUUCGUGUUCUCUUCAUAUCAAAAAAUAAGAAAAGGCGGCGACAAGGAAGAGACAAUAUGGCGAUGACACGUUGGUGCUAGUUGCACGUGGCGCCCUUUAGCCACAAGUUUUCUAGCCCAUCACCGACGUCUCUCUCUAUUUCUUAAUGCUAUUCACGGAAAAUCAAAGGCUAUGAGGCAAAGCAAUAAUCGUAAAAAAGCGAAAUGAAAAACAAAAAAAAGUCGUAAAAAUCUCGAGGGUCGGCUGCCGCUGAAAGAAAACCAAAGAUUUAUAGCCCCCAAUAGAUUUCCCCAUCAGCUUAUGAUAUAGUCGACGACGCCGUUCAUAUUUGCGCCUAUCGUUUCUUGGCCAUUUCUUUUCAUGGGCGAGUGGGGGGGAGAGGCCAACAGAUUUGUGUACAAGAGAAGAAAGACGGUUGCUGCAACCAUUAGAGGAAGACAUGGACUUGAAGAAGCGGCAUGUCUAUGCACUUCUGCUUUGACUCCCAUCUCACCCUCCACACUUGUACACACACAGACAGAGAGGCCAAGUUGACGGCGGCAGUUGAAACGAUGUUGUAUAUACAUGGCGGCGUUUAGCCCAUCAAGUAGAGAGACUCUUUCUCUCUGUGUGUGUGUGUGCCUAUGUGUUUUGCUGCUGGUCGUUGGCCCAUUAGCCGCAAAGUGUCUGCCGACGAGCCCAUCACCAAAACAGGACGUUGACUGCCACCCCUCGUUUUUUUCUUUUUCUUUUUCGUACUAAAAGUUACACGUCAGAAAAAGGGGGAAAAAAUGGUUGGUUGAAACCACGCCCUUUGGACUUGAUUCUUUGGUAUGGGGAGGAGUACCAAUAAGACAUCAAUCGAAUUGGGAAACAACGAGAGGGAGGGAGGAAUUUUUCGAAUAAUCAAAUCCAAGAUUUUUUCAUUUUUUCUGGCCGGUUACGUAUCAAUGAAAUGUAUCAUUUCAAAUCGUGACCUGUUUGGUUAUUCUUAUUUAUCUCUGGGAGAAACGUAACGAAAGGCGGGAUGACGAAGCGCAACGAACAGCAUUUAAAAAAAAGUGGGGGGAGGGAGGAAGAAGGGACCGACUGGAGAGAGAGAGAGAGAGAAAAACGUAAAUCAUGUGGUGUGGUGAGCGGAAGAAAAGAAGAGGCGAGUGAAUGGCGGCGGCAAGCAGCCGACAACAGCCCAUUUACACGCACGUAACAUAAACAUCUAGUCAACUCUAUAGUCCAUGUUAGCCCCAUGAAAAACGGCUACCAGUAACAUGGUCGUUUGCCUGCUCGGCAUUUCCCUCCGCUUUUCUUUUCCCAACUUGUGUCUGUGCGCCUGUGUAUAAAUAAUCGUAAUCUAUGUGGCCAGCUUAACAGCUCGACAGGGGCACACACAUAACGCUGGCAGUAUAUUCAACAAGAAAAAGGGACGGAUGAUAAACCAUCGUUUCUCUCUUUCUGCCAUGCCACCCGUCGUCGUCAUUCAUCUGCGAAAGCCUCUCCUUCCUCUUUGCCAGUCGUCUGAAAUGGCCACCAAACACGGCAGAUUUGCUCCUUUCUUCUUUUUCUUGUUGUUGUCUUUUCGUUUACGACCCGACUGCCUAUCGCACGAACUGCUCAUUCGUCUUUGAAUUUCUUUGGCCUAGGAAACUGUGACCCAUCGUCAGGACGAGGGAUUUCCCGCACAACCUACGCACAACAUGUCAAUUGUGUGUGUCCACAUUUGAUUUCCUCUCGUGUCUUUUACACCGUGUGUCUGAGUGUAGGCACACACACACACACACACGCAGGAUAGAUAUGGAAGGAAAAACACUUGGGCAUGGAUUAAAGAAAAGGGAAAUUUCUUUAGCGACCGUUUCAUCAUCGUUUUGCGCGUCAGCAGCUCCUUAUCGCCAUCGUAAAUGUUUCUUUCCUUGUGUGUUGUGCGGUGCGCCGCCUUUUGAGAAACGUUGCGGAUGUGCGGAAGAAGGAGGAGAUAAUGUUGUACCGUGUCAUUAUUUCAAGACAAGUCGUUUUUGCUUGUGAAAAUGGCGACUAAGUAUACAGACGACAUUGUUCUUUCUUUUCCGACUUUUUUUCUGGUUGAAUUCACUGGAAAUUGUUAGUCCAUAUGUC